RNAcentral lists this long non-coding RNA (1999 nucleotides) under Homo sapiens (human). RNAcentral's name for it is "HSALNT0086499". The record is from RNAcentral. Lineage: Eukaryota; Metazoa; Chordata; Mammalia; Primates; Hominidae.
GAAAAAUUUAACUUGAAACAAGUUUUUUUUCUUUGCCACAACAAAAUUUAUUAGAAUAGAUUUUUUUAAAGAAGGAGGGGGAACUGCAUUUUAACUCCGGAAAUAAAGUAUGCAGACAUAUGCGAAAACAUUUAUCUUAGGACACUCACCCAUGGCAUUUUUUUCAGGCAGAAAUUUUUGUGCUCAUCUUUGAACACCUCUGAGUUUAUUUUCCUACUAAUUCUAAAUCAAAACUGAACACACAUUUCCCCAGUCUUUAUUCAUCUGCCAGACUCGAGCCUUAAAAAUGCAAGCAUGCUUGGAAGCACCCAGAAGUUUCUUGGAACUUCUCCUGGGAACAACAAAGAACAAUCAAAAGGAGAGUUUCCAAACCUGAGAUUCGAUCAACUUUCCCAUGUUUCCAAACCUGAGAUAUGAUCAACUUUCAUUUAACAAGCCACAAAUCUCAGGACCAAAGUUUCACAUUUUCUUUUGUUCGUGUUUUCCUGACUGGAAUUAUUCAGUCUUUACUUAAAACCAGCUGUGAGUUCAUCAUCCAUUUGUGAUCUUUUAUUUAUUGCAUAAAAUAUUUCACAAAUACUUGAACAUAUAUAGAAAAACAUAACAAAGGCUCAUUUACCCACAUCCAAAUCUUUAAAUAUUCAUAUUUUGCCUUGUCUGUUCCUUUCUUUAACAAAGAUUCAUUUAAUAUCACAGAUGCUGUAUUUACAUCCCUCAACAACCAAAUUCUCUACCUCUCUCUUCAGCAGUAACUACAAUCCUAAAGUUAUUACAUAUCCUUCCCAGCUAUUUUUAAAAUGCAUUCACCUCAUAUUUAUCUAUCCCUAAAUAAUAUGACCAAUUACUUUGGUAUUUAUGAGUUUUGCAUAAAAAAUAGCAGAUAUCUUUAUGCACUUUGAUUUUCUUUCAUUCGGCAUUGGGUUUUUGAGAUACAAAUAGCUCCAGCUGCUUAGUUUUAUACAUCUAUACAAUCUAUUAAACUCCCUAUUCAUCAACAUUUAAUUUUCACUGCUUUAUGCAUACAACUGCUGUGGUUGUAUACACAUAUACAGUUUAUUAAUCUCCCUAUUUAUCUACAUCUAAUUUUCACUGCUUUAUGCAUAUAGCUGCUGUAAUUGUACAUAUACAUAUAAUUUAUUAAUCUCCCUAUUUAUCAGCAUUUAAUUUUCAUUGCCAUAAAUGACAAAAGUUGUGUGUAUACCACUGCUAUAAUUUUACACAUAUAUACUAUUUAUUAAUCCCCCUAUUUAGCAACAUUUGAUUUUCACUGCCAUAAAUGACUAUGCAAUGAGCAUUCCUAUGCCAGUCUCACUGGAAUAUGUGCAAAAGUUUCUCCAAAAUAUACACCUAGAGGUGGAAUUGUUGGGUCAUGUAAAAUGCAUAUCUUAAUAUUUCCUAGAUGCUGACAAAUUGCUUCCUCUCCAAAGCAGUUUUACUGAUGUGUACCCUUGCCAUCAGUGUAGUAUUUCCAUUUCUCGUCAUCUUUAUCACUACCUGAUGCAGUCAGAUAUUUUAAUGUUUGACAAUUCAAUGAGCAUAAAAUGAUGCAUUGUUAUUUUACUUUUUAUUUCCCUGAUGAAUCCAUUUGUAUCUGAGUAACUCAUCCUUUUCCUGCUUAUCUUUUAUGCCAUCUUUGUCAUCUUCUGAGUGUCUACAUAUGCCCAAAUGUUAGUCCAGGCUUUUCUGGCCCAUUUUUCUGUGUAUCUAUUCCUGUCCUGGUGCUCCACUGUUUUAUUACCAUAUUUUAUACAAAGUCUUGUUAUCUGGUAUAUUAAUUCUCACACCACCAUACCCUUCUUCAAAAUUGUUGUGGCCAUUCUUGGCCAUUUACUCAUCAUAUGAAUUUUCAGAUGAGCCUAUCGGGUCUCCUAAAAAAUUGUGUUGGGAGCUAGAUUGAAUUUAUGUUUUAAUGCCAGAAGUUACAUCUUUAUAAUAUUGUGCCUCCUAAUCUUGAACAUGGUAUAUCAUUUCCUUUACAUUGGGCUUCAAUAAAACUUUA